This 320-nucleotide ribosomal RNA is filed under the name uncultured Chloroflexota bacterium. RNAcentral describes it as "bacterial SSU rRNA". It matches the Rfam family "Bacterial small subunit ribosomal RNA", at positions 28 to 351 of the family's 1533-position model. The record is from RNAcentral. Lineage: Bacteria; Bacillati; Chloroflexota.
GAUGAACGCUGGCGGCGUGCUUGAUACAUGCAAGUCGAACGGAGAGUUAGCAAUAGCUCUUAGUGGCGAACGGGUGAGUAACGCGUUGGUGACCUGCCCCGAAGUGGGGGAUAACAGCUCGAAAGGGCUGCUAAUACCCCAUGUUGUCAUGAGGGUUAGAGGCCUUGUGACUAAAGGAGUAAUUCGCUUCGGGAGGGGCCUGCGUCCCAUCAGCUAGUUGGUAGGGUAAUGGCCUACCAAGGCUACGACGGGUAGGGGGCCUGAGAGGGUGACCCCCCACACUGGCACUGAAACACGGGCCAGACACCUACGGGUGGCUG